This 1234-nucleotide long non-coding RNA is filed under the name Nicotiana tabacum (common tobacco). Its description in RNAcentral is "long non-coding RNA (NTAB_LNC014751)". The record is from RNAcentral. Lineage: Eukaryota; Viridiplantae; Streptophyta; Magnoliopsida; Solanales; Solanaceae.
ACUACAACAAAUUCGAUUAUCAAUGACAAAUUAUUUUGUCACCUAAAAUUCAUAUUUCGUCACAAAAAACUUUUUUUGACGAAAAUAUUUUUGUCAAUCAUUCGUCCUUAAAUGCACGUCACUAAAGGUAUACAAAGACAACUUAGUGAUUCGUCACUAAAUAAAAUUAUAUUAACUACGAAAUUGAUUUUUGUCCCCAAAUGUAUAGUAUUUGUGACAAACUUAUUUGUCAAAAAAAGUAUUAAAAAGUGUAGUUGAUAGUAUGUUUUCGUCACUAAAGAAGUCAUCAAUACCGACGAAACUACCUUGUCACUAACUAUUUAGUUUAAUUAGUGACAACAUUAAUUGUCUCUAAAGUUAUAUGUAUUUCGUAGUAGAACAAAUUUAACUCCGUCACUAAAAACUACCUAUUAUAUACAAAAAGAUAUUUCGACCCUAAAUAUAAAAAUUAGUGACAAAUUUGCUUUAAUAAAAUUGGCUUACAUUUUGUAGCUAAAACUAUCAUCUCAUCGCUAAAAACAUUGCUAUUACUGACAAAAUAAAAUUGUCACUAUAAAUUAUCAUGAUAAAUGACAAAUAAAAUUAUCAUAAAAUACAAAGUUACUUUGUAGUCAAUAAAGCAGUUCUGAGAAAUAGAAAUAUAUAAGAACCUUUCAUUGCUAAAAAGCCAAACAAUAUAAAGUAUUCUAAUAUACAUUAUAAUACAUUUUCUAUGUAUAUAUACAUGACCCAAAAAAUAACAUAAAAGAUCUCCAAACUGUUCCUUUGCCUUCAAACUCCUCCUAGUAUGUGGUUGACUUCAUUUCCUGUUGUUGGAGAACUGUAUCCUUCAUAUAUUAAAAAAAAUAGCAAAGGAUCAAAAGAGAGAAAGAAAUUAGAAAAUUCUCAUAAUAAUCCAAUUAUAAUUUAUCAAAACAAUCAAAUGCAUAAGUAAAAGAUAGCACAUACAAUGGCAACCAGAUGUUGGUAAGAAAUUCAACAAGACCUUAAGAGUUGACAAAUAUAAUUUCCUGUAACCAUCAAAGAUUAGCAUUAGUAUGAGAUAAUUCUAACAAGGCUACUUAAUGAGUUUAAUUAAUGCUUAUAUAGUGGUGUUACUAAUCUAAGCUUGCUGACAACAAGAACAUCUAAUUAUUUUAAAGAUAAGAUGUUGCUCUUACAUAGUUGAAAUUGAGAUAUGCCAAAAUUUCACAAUGGUGAUAAUGCUUAAACAUCAACAAAGAGAGGAUUGGCG